AACAGCAUCUGAUCGUGAGGAGGAGUCGGCGGUGGACAGUUGUUGCACUACCGAAACGGCCAGCAUCUACAAAUACCUGAGUGAGGUAAAAGCCAAAUUGGACAACCUG
Molecule: non-coding RNA, 109 nt
Organism: Lepisosteus oculatus (spotted gar)
Lineage: Eukaryota; Metazoa; Chordata; Actinopteri; Semionotiformes; Lepisosteidae
Source: RefSeq, a predicted model, not a curated record